GGUAGCGUGGCCGAGCGGUCUAAGGCGCUGGAUUUAGGCUCCAGUCUCUGCGGGGACGUGGGUUUCGAAUCCCAGCGCUGCCA
Loxodonta africana (African savanna elephant) is the source of this 83-nucleotide transfer RNA. It matches the Rfam family "tRNA". Rfam says of the family: Transfer RNA (tRNA) molecules are approximately 80 nucleotides in length. Their secondary structure includes four short double-helical elements and three loops (D, anti-codon, and T loops). Further hydrogen bonds mediate the characteristic L-shaped molecular structure. tRNAs have two regions of fundamental functional importance: the anti-codon, which is responsible for specific mRNA codon recognition, and the 3' end, to which the tRNAs corresponding amino acid is attached (by aminoacyl-tRNA synthetases). tRNAs cope with the degeneracy of the genetic code in two manners: having more than one tRNA (with a specific anti-codon) for a particular amino acid; and 'wobble' base-pairing, i.e. permitting non-standard base-pairing at the 3rd anti-codon position. Lineage: Eukaryota; Metazoa; Chordata; Mammalia; Proboscidea; Elephantidae. The record is from Rfam.